GCUGCAACUCGCCUACAUGAAGUUGGAAUCGCAGUAAUCGCGAAUCAGAAUGUCGCGGUGAAUACGUUCCCGGGUCUUGUACACACCGCCCGUCACACCACGAGAGUUUACAACACCCGAAGUCAGUGGCCUAACCGCAAGGAGGGAGCUGCCUAAGGUGGGGUAGAUGAUUGGGGUGAAGUCGUAACAAGGUACC
Molecule: ribosomal RNA, 196 nt
Filed under: uncultured bacterium
Lineage: Bacteria
Description: partial 16S ribosomal RNA
Rfam family: Bacterial small subunit ribosomal RNA
Source: RNAcentral